RNAcentral lists this ribosomal RNA (490 nucleotides) under uncultured bacterium. RNAcentral describes it as "partial 16S ribosomal RNA". It matches the Rfam family "Bacterial small subunit ribosomal RNA", at positions 28 to 507 of the family's 1533-position model. The record is from RNAcentral.
GAUGAACGCUCGCGAUAGGCUUAACACAUGCAAGUCGAGGGGCAGCAUGGUCUUAGCUUGCUAAGACUGAUGGCGACCGGCGCACGGGUGCGUAACGCGUAUGCAACUUGCCUCCCAGAGGGGGAUAACCCGUCGAAAGACGGACUAAUACCGCGUACACUUGGGAUAGGGCAUCCUGACCCAAGGAAAUGAAAUUCGCUGUGAGAUAGGCAUGCGUCCCAUUAGCUAGUUGGUGAGGUAACGGCUCACCAAGGCGACGAUGGGUAGGGGAACUGAGAGGUUGAACCCCCACACUGGUACUGAGACACGGACCAGACUCCUACGGGAGGCAGCAGUGAGGAAUAUUGGUCAAUGGGCGAGAGCCUGAACCAGCCAAGUCGCGUGAAGGAUGACUGUCUUAUGGAUGGUAAACUUCUUUUAUACGGGAAUAACAAGAGUCACGUGUGGCUCCCUGCAUGUACCGUAUGAAUAAGCAUCGGCUAACUCCGUG